AUAUUGCCUCCUCUAAUAUUAUAUAAAUUAUGUUCUUUCAUCCUGUAUUUCAUAGGAGUAAUACAAUUGAAACCCGGUAUAAUGAUGAGGUUCAUGGAAUCACAUGUUAUGGUUGUGAGUAUAAGUUUUGUGUUGUUGUUUGUGGCUCAUCAGUGUACAAGAAAUGAACUUAGUCAUAUGGAAGCAUUUGGGGUUCCAACUCCAAAAGAUUGUGUUCCAAGUUGUAAACAAACACCAGAUGCUAACUCGUAUAUUUGUUGCUGUAAAUACUAUGAUGAUCCGAUCACGUGUGAACAUGAUUGUCAAAGAAUAAAAAGUUGUAAGAUAUAAUUGUAACUGAUAUUAUUAAAGACUAUACAUAUAAUAAAGAUUAAAUAUAUCUUUACUUCA
This is a long non-coding RNA of Helianthus annuus (common sunflower), 390 nucleotides long. RefSeq lists it as uncharacterized. The record is from RefSeq and is a predicted model, not a curated record. NCBI's taxonomy places the organism in Eukaryota, Viridiplantae, Streptophyta, Magnoliopsida, Asterales, Asteraceae. The transcript is spliced from 2 exons.